GAUGAACGCUGGCGGCGUGCUUAACACAUGCAAGUCGAACGGUGAAGGCGGAGCUUGCUCUGCUGGAUCAGUGGCGAACGGGUGAGUAACACGUGAGCAAUCUGCCCCUGACUCUGGGAUAAGCGCUGGAAACGGCGUCUAAUACUGGAUACGAGCUGCGAAGGCAUCUUCAGCAGCUGGAAAGAACUUCGGUCAGGGAUGAGCUCGCGGCCUAUCAGCUUGUUGGUGAGGUAACGGCUCACCAAGGUGUCGACGGGUAGCCGGCCUGAGAGGGUGACCGGCCACACUGGGACUGAGACACGGCCCAGACUCCUACGGGAGGCAGCAGUGGGGAAUAUUGCACAAUGGGCGAAAGCCUGAUGCAGCAACGCCGCGUGAGGGACGACGGCCUUCGGGUUGUAAACCUCUUUUAGCAGGGAAGAAGCGAAAGUGACGGUACCUGCAGAAAAAGCGCCGGCUAACUACGUG
Molecule: ribosomal RNA, 468 nt
Filed under: uncultured bacterium
Lineage: Bacteria
Description: partial 16S ribosomal RNA
Rfam family: Bacterial small subunit ribosomal RNA
Source: RNAcentral